GAUGAACGCUGACAGAAUGCUUAACACAUGCAAGUCAACUUGAACUUCGGUUUGGGUGGCGGACGGGUGAGUAACGCGUAAAGAACUUGCCUCACAGCUAGGGACAACAUUUGGAAACGAAUGCUAAUACCUGAUAUUAUGACUUUAGGGCAUCCUAGAAUUAUGAAAGCUAUAUGCGCUGUGAGAGAGCUUUGCGUCCCAUUAGCUAGUUGGAGAGGUAACGGCUCACCAAGGCGAUGAUGGGUAGCCGGCCUGAGGGGGUGAACGGCCACAAGGGGACUGGGACACGGCCCUUACUCAUACGGGAGGCAGCAGUGGGGAAUAUUGGACGAUGGACCAAGAGUCUGAUCCAGCAAUUCUGUGUGCACGAUGAAGUUUUUCGGAAUGUAAAGUGCUUUCAGUUGGGAAGAAAAAAAUGACGGUACCAACAGAAGAAGUGACGGCUAAAUACGUG
This 454-nucleotide ribosomal RNA is filed under the name uncultured bacterium. Its description in RNAcentral is "partial 16S ribosomal RNA". It matches the Rfam family "Bacterial small subunit ribosomal RNA", at positions 28 to 507 of the family's 1533-position model. The record is from RNAcentral.